GACUACGCUGGCGGCGUGCCUAAUACAUGCAAGUCGAACGGGAUUCUUUGAUCAGCUUGCUGAGAGAAGGAUCUAGUGGCGGACGGGUGAGUAACGCGUGGGAAUCUGCCUCUUACUGGGGGAUAACAGUGGGAAACUACUGCUAAUACCGCAUAAGAUCUUCGGAUGAAAGGUGCAACUGCACCGGUAAGAGAUGAGCCCGCGUCCCAUUAGCUAGUUGGUGAGGUAAAGGCUCACCAAGGCGACGAUGGGUAGCCGGCCUGAGAGGGUGAACGGCCACACUGGGACUGAGACACGGCCCAGACUCCUACGGGAGGCAGCAGUGGGGAAUAUUGCGCAAUGGACGGAAGUCUGACGCAGCGACGCCGCGUGAGCGACGAAGGCCUUCGGGUCGUAAAGCUCUGUUCUUGGGGACGAAUAAAAUGACGGUACCCAAGGAGAAAGCCCCGGCUAACUACGUG
RNAcentral lists this ribosomal RNA (461 nucleotides) under uncultured bacterium. Its description in RNAcentral is "bacterial SSU rRNA". It matches the Rfam family "Bacterial small subunit ribosomal RNA", at positions 33 to 507 of the family's 1533-position model. The record is from RNAcentral.